GAUGGACUGAUAGAAGGGUAAGGGUUAGAGAAUGACAGAAUAGAUGGACUGAUAGAAGGGUAAGGUUUAGAGAAUGACAGAAUAGAUGGACUGAUAGAAAGGUAAGGGUUAGAGAAUGACAGAAUAGAUGGACUGGUAGAAAGGUAAGGUUUAGAGAAUGACAGAAUAGAUGGACUGAUAGAAGGGUAAGGUUUAGAGAAUGACAGAAUAGAUGGACUGAUAGAAAGGUAAGGUUUAGAGAAUGACAGAAUAGAUGGACUGAUAGAAAGGUAAGGUUUAGAGAAUGACAGAAUAGAUGGACUGAUAGAAAGGUAAGGGUUAGAGAAUGACAGAAUAGAUGGACUGAUAGAAAGGUAAGGGUUAGAGAAUGACAGAAUAGAUGGACUGAUAGAAGGGUAAGGGUUAGAGAAUGACAGAAUAGAUGGACUGAUAGAAAGGUAAGGGUUAGAGAAUGACAGAAUAGAUGGACUGAUAGAAGGGUAAGGGUUAGAGAAUGACAGAAUAUAUGGACUGAUAGAAGGGUAAGGGUUAGAGAAUGACAGAAUAUAUGGACUGAUAGAAGGGUAAGGGUUAGAGAAUGACAGAAUAGAUGGACUGAUAGAAGGGUAAGGGUUAGAGAAUGACAGAAUAUAUGGACUGAUAGAAGGGUAAGGGUUAGAG
Long non-coding RNA from Oncorhynchus keta (chum salmon), 660 nucleotides. RefSeq lists it as uncharacterized. Lineage: Eukaryota; Metazoa; Chordata; Actinopteri; Salmoniformes; Salmonidae. The record is from RefSeq and is a predicted model, not a curated record. The transcript is spliced from 3 exons.